AAAAGUCAUUUUUAUAAAACCUCUGCACCAUUAUUCUUUAGUAGAUGCAGAAUGCCUCUUGCUAGUUUCUGUGUUUAUGAGAUCCACUCUGAAAGAGGGUAAGAAUUGUGCCUGUACUUUCCCAGCUUAAAAGCACAUGAUAUGCUCAAAGCUCUGAGACCUAGUAAAGCCUGAGUACUGGGUGCCUGUGUGGUGCUCUUUCUGCAGACCUGGCCUCCUCAACUUCUCUGCUUGCUGCAAGGUUGCCAUGGAUGAUGAAACAUUUGAGCUAUAAAAGCUUUUAAAGUGUAUGAAGAAAUCAUUAUGUAUAUUAUGAAACUGUUCAGCAUUAUGGAUCAGAGCCAGCUGUACGUUCCCAGCCGUAAUGGACGCACCUUUUGCCCAUAAUUGUGAGUCUGCGAGCACAGACACUGGAGAGAAUGACCAGGGGGAUUUGGGGGCUUUACUGGCUCUGAGUCUGUACUAGCCCUGCCAGAUACAAGCUGGCACAUAAAAAGUGUUAUUCUUUUCCAGUAUUCAUUUAUUUCUACCUUUGUGAACUGCUUCAUACAAAGAACUGCCUUUUUAACCCAUCUCUCAACCCCUCUUCAAGUUCCAGAACUAACGUUCCAAUUAACUAAGAAGUAUCAUGUUCUCUUCAGAGAAAGCUACCUUUACCCAAGAAAGCCUCUCAUUUUACCAGGAAAUAUGCAAUGCGCACUGAGCUGAUAAGGUUGUACAUUCUGUUUCAAAUUGUGAAAGGAUACAAAAAGACCUUAUUUUUUUCAGAUUUAGAGGAAGAAAUGGAUGAGAUUUCAUAUUGCUUAUUUAAAAGUCUGGAAUUGACCUAUAGUAUGGUGUUAUUUGUGGGAUAAUGCCCCUGUGGAUUGAGUGCCAAAUAACACUGCAGUGCCAAGACCUGGAAUAAAAUAUUUUCUACGUGAAAAAAGCAAGUGACAGAGGUCCGGCCUGCUGUUAUGACUGGAGUGAGUGACAAGCUCUUCCUUCCAAAAAGAGAAGGAGCCUCUCUUUCUCCUCACGUCCUGGGAUGGCAGUACUUUCUCACUCAUUGCCUGAGGAGAUGUGAACUAUUUGCAGAGUCUAAUGUCUGAAACAAUGAGAGAAAUUUAAAGACAAAAGACCAGAAAUCUCCAUCUUUGCAACUAGAAGAGUUUCCUAUGAACUAAAUAUAAAAGGUUACUUUUUUUAGUUAAAAAAAGAGAAUUAAAAGUAGAAAAAAAAACAUCACCACCAACAACUACUAACAACAAUACCACACACAGAAAAAAAAAAAA
Molecule: long non-coding RNA, 1274 nt
Organism: Cygnus olor (mute swan)
Lineage: Eukaryota; Metazoa; Chordata; Aves; Anseriformes; Anatidae
Exons: 4
Source: RefSeq, a predicted model, not a curated record